CAGCAGCCGCGGGAAAACGAAGGGUGCAAGCGUUACUCGGAAUUACUGGGCGUAAAGCGUGCGUAGGUGGUGGUUUAAGUCCGUUGUGAAAGCCCUGGGCUCAACCUGGGAAUUGCAGUGGAUACUGGGUCACUAGAGUGUGGUAGAGGAUAGUGGAAUUUCCGGUGUAGCAGUGAAAUGCGUAGAGAUCUGGAGGAAUACCGAUGGCGAAGGCAUCCAUCUGGCCUAAUACUGACGCUGAGGUACGAAAGCAUGGGGAGCAAACAGGAUUAGAUACCCGGGUAGUCCCUGUCUCUUAUAC
RNAcentral lists this ribosomal RNA (301 nucleotides) under uncultured bacterium. RNAcentral describes it as "partial 16S ribosomal RNA". It matches the Rfam family "Bacterial small subunit ribosomal RNA", at positions 509 to 807 of the family's 1533-position model. The record is from RNAcentral.